Molecule: transfer RNA, 71 nt
Filed under: Cordylochernes scorpioides
Lineage: Eukaryota; Metazoa; Arthropoda; Arachnida; Pseudoscorpiones; Chernetidae
Description: tRNA-Gly
Source: RNAcentral
UGCAUCAGCCAGGAAUCGAACCCGGGGCGCCCGCGUGGCAGGCGAGCAUUCUACCACUGAACCACCGAUGC